RNAcentral lists this ribosomal RNA (233 nucleotides) under uncultured Candidatus Saccharibacteria bacterium. RNAcentral describes it as "partial 16S ribosomal RNA". It matches the Rfam family "Bacterial small subunit ribosomal RNA", at positions 584 to 818 of the family's 1533-position model. Lineage: Bacteria; Candidatus Saccharimonadota. The record is from RNAcentral.
UAAGCGAAUAGUGAAUCUGGUGGCUCAACCAUAACCCAUUGUUCGAACUGCUUGUCUCGAGAAUGGUAGAGGUAGCUGGAAUUUCUUGUGUAGGAGUGAAAUCCGUAGAUAUAAGAAGGAACACCAAUGGCGUAGGCAGGCUACUGGACCAUUUCUGACGCUGAGGCACGAAAGCGUGGGGAGCGAACCGGAUUAGAUACCCGGGUAGUCCACGCCGUAAACGAUGGAUACUA